AACGCGAAGAACCUUACCAGGUCUUGACAUCCCGAUGCUAUUUCUAGAGAUAGAAGUUACUUCGGUACAUCGGUGACAGGUGGGUGCAUGGUUGUCGUCAGCUCGUGUCGUGAGAUGUUGGGUUAAGUCCCGCAACGAGCGCAACCCCUAUCUUUAGUUGCCAUCAUUGAGUUGGGCACUCUAAAGAGACUGCCGGUGUCAAACCCGGAGGAAGGUGGGGGAUGACGUCAAGUCCUCAUGGCCUUUAUGACCAGGGCUACACACGUACUACAAUGGCCGGUACAAAGGGCAGCGACACAGCGAUGUGAAGCGAAUCCCGAAAAGCCGGUCUCAGUCCGGAUUGGAGUCUGCAACUCGACUCCAUGAAGUUGGAAUCGCUAGUAAUCGCGGAUCAGCACGCCGCGGUGAAUACGUUCCCGGGCCUU
Molecule: ribosomal RNA, 425 nt
Filed under: uncultured Desulfocapsa sp.
Lineage: Bacteria; Pseudomonadati; Thermodesulfobacteriota; Desulfobulbia; Desulfobulbales; Desulfocapsaceae
Description: bacterial SSU rRNA
Rfam family: Bacterial small subunit ribosomal RNA
Source: RNAcentral